This 288-nucleotide ribosomal RNA is filed under the name uncultured Oceanospirillum sp. Its description in RNAcentral is "partial 16S ribosomal RNA". It matches the Rfam family "Bacterial small subunit ribosomal RNA", at positions 1093 to 1382 of the family's 1533-position model. The record is from RNAcentral. Lineage: Bacteria; Pseudomonadati; Pseudomonadota; Gammaproteobacteria; Oceanospirillales; Oceanospirillaceae.
CGAGCGCACCCCUAUCCCUAUUUGCUAGCAGUCCGGCUGAGAACUCUAGGGAGACUGCCGGUGACAAACCGGAGGAAGGUGGGGACGACGUCAAGUCAUCAUGGCCCUUACGACCAGGGCUACACACGUGCUACAAUGGCCGGUACAGAGGGCUGCAAUAUCGCGAGAUGGAGCUAAUCCCACAAAACCGGUCGUAGUCCGGAUUGGAGUCUGCAACUCGACUCCAUGAAGUCGGAAUCGCUAGUAAUCGUGAAUCAAAAUGUCACGGUGAAUACGUUCCCGGGCCUU